GACGAACGCUGGCGGCGCGCUUAACACAUGCAAGUCGAACGGAAAGGCCUGCUUUCCCUUGUGGAUUGCGGGUACUCGAGUGGCGAACGGGUGAGUAACACGUGAGUGAUCUGCCCCCAACUUGGGUAUAAGCCUGGGAAACUGGGUCUAAUUCCCGAUAGGACUGCAGGGUGGUGCCUGUGGUGGAAAACGAUUUUCUAGUGGUUGGGGAUGAGCUCGCGGCCUAUCAGCUUGUUGGUGGGGUAAUGGCCUACCAAGGCGGCGACGGGUAGCCGGCCUGGGAGGGUGGACGGCCACAUUGGGACUGAGAUACGGCCCAGACUCCUACGGGAGGCAGCAGUGGGGAAUAUUGCACAAUGGGCGGAAGCCUGAUGCAGCGACGCCGCGUGGGGAUGACGGCCUUCGGGUUGUAAACUCCUUUCGACCGCGAGGAAGCCACCUGGUUGGAAGGGUGGUGACGGUAGUGGUAGAAGAAGCACCGGCUAACUACGUG
Molecule: ribosomal RNA, 493 nt
Filed under: uncultured bacterium
Lineage: Bacteria
Description: partial 16S ribosomal RNA
Rfam family: Bacterial small subunit ribosomal RNA
Source: RNAcentral